ACGAACGCUGGCGGCAUGCCUAACACAUGCAAGUCGAACGAGACCUUCGGGUCUAGUGGCGCACGGGUGCGUAACGCGUGGGAAUCUGCCCUUCGGUUCGGAACAACAGUUAGAAAUGACUGCUAAUACCGGAUAAUGACGUAAGUCCAAAGAUUUAUCGCCGAAGGAUGAGCCCGCGUAGGAUUAGCUAGUUGGUAAGGUAAAAGCUUACCAAGGCGACGAUCCUUAGCUGGUCUGAGAGGAUGAUCAGCCACACUGGGACUGAGACACGGCCCAGACUCCUACGGGAGGCAGCAGUGGGGAAUAUUGGACAAUGGGCGAAAGCCUGAUCCAGCAAUGCCGCGUGAGUGAUGAAGGCCUUAGGGUUGUAAAGCUCUUUUACCCGGGAUGAUAAUGACAGUACCGGGAGAAUAAGCUCCGGCUAACUCCGU
Molecule: ribosomal RNA, 431 nt
Filed under: uncultured bacterium
Lineage: Bacteria
Description: bacterial SSU rRNA
Rfam family: Bacterial small subunit ribosomal RNA
Source: RNAcentral